CCCCGUACACAAAAAUGCACAUGCUGUGAGCUCGAUGAGUAGGGCGGGACACGUGGUAUCCUGUCUGAAUAUGGGGGGACCAUCCUCCAAGGCUAAAUACUCCUGACUGACCGAUAGUGAACCAGUACCGUGAGGGAAAGGCGAAAAGAACCCCGGCGAGGGGAGUGAAAAAGAACCUGAAACCGUGUACGUACAAGCAGUGGGAGCACGCUUAGGCGUGUGACUGCGUACCUUUUGUAUAAUGGGUCAGCGACUUAUAUUCUGUAGCAAGGUUAACCGAAUAGGGGAGCCGAAGGGAAACCGAGUCUUAACUGGGCGUUAAGUUGCAGGGUAUAGACCCGAAACCCGGUGAUCUAGCCAUGGGCAGGUUGAAGGUUGGGUAACACUAACUGGAGGACCGAACCGACUAAUGUUGAAAAAUUAGCGGAUGACUUGUGGCUGGGGGUGAAAGGCCAAUCAAACCGGGAGAUAGCUGGUUCUCCCCGAAAGCUAUUUAGGUAGCGCCUCGUGAAUUCAUCUCCGGGGGUAGAGCACUGUUUCGGCAAGGGGGUCAUCCCGACUUACCAACCCGAUGCAAACUGCGAAUACCGGAGAAUGUUAUCACGGGAGACACACGGCGGGUGCUAACGUCCGUCGUGAAGAGGGAAACAACCCAGACCGCCAGCUAAGGUCCCAAAGUCAUGGUUAAGUGGGAAACGAUGUGGGAAGGCCCAGACAGCCAGGAUGUUGGCUUAGAAGCAGCCAUCAUUUAAAGAAAGCGUAAUAGCUCACUGGUCGAGUCGGCCUGCGCGGAAGAUGUAACGGGGCUAAACCAUGCACCGAAGCUGCGGCAGCGACACUGUGUGUUGUUGGGUAGGGGAGCGUUCUGUAAGCCUGUGAAGGUGUACUGUGAGGUAUGCUGGAGGUAUCAGAAGUGCGAAUGCUGACAUAAGUAACGAUAAAGCGGGUGAAAAGCCCGCUCGCCGGAAGACCAAGGGUUCCUGUCCAACGUUAAUCGGGGCAGGGUGAGUCGACCCCUAAGGCGAGGCCGAAAGGCGUAGUCGAUGGGAAACAGGUUAAUAUUCCUGUACUUGGUGUUACUGCGAAGGGGGGACGGAGAAGGCUAUGUUGGCCGGGCGACGGUUGUCCCGGUUUAAGCGUGUAGGCUGGUUUUCCAGGCAAAUCCGGAAAAUCAAGGCUGAGGCGUGAUGACGAGGCACUACGGUGCUGAAGCAACAAAUGCCCUGCUUCCAGGAAAAGCCUCUAAGCAUCAGGUAACAUCAAAUCGUACCCCAAACCGACACAGGUGGUCAGGUAGAGAAUACCAAGGCGCUUGAGAGAACUCGGGUGAAGGAACUAGGCAAAAUGGUGCCGUAACUUCGGGAGAAGGCACGCUGAUAUGUAGGUGAAGCGACUUGCUCGUGGAGCUGAAAUCAGUCGAAGAUACCAGCUGGCUGCAACUGUUUAUUAAAAACACAGCACUGUGCAAACACGAAAGUGGACGUAUACGGUGUGACGCCUGCCCGGUGCCGGAAGGUUAAUUGAUGGGGUUAGCGCAAGCGAAGCUCUUGAUCGAAGCCCCGGUAAACGGCGGCCGUAACUAUAACGGUCCUAAGGUAGCGAAAUUCCUUGUCGGGUAAGUUCCGACCUGCACGAAUGGCGUAAUGAUGGCCAGGCUGUCUCCACCCGAGACUCAGUGAAAUUGAACUCGCUGUGAAGAUGCAGUGUACCCGCGGCAAGACGGAAAGACCCCGUGAACCUUUACUAUAGCUUGACACUGAACAUUGAGCCUUGAUGUGUAGGAUAGGUGGGAGGCUUUGAAGUGUGGACGCCAGUCUGCAUGGAGCCGACCUUGAAAUACCACCCUU
This 1847-nucleotide ribosomal RNA is filed under the name Escherichia coli. RNAcentral describes it as "partial 23S ribosomal RNA". It matches the Rfam family "Bacterial large subunit ribosomal RNA", at positions 371 to 2207 of the family's 2925-position model. Lineage: Bacteria; Pseudomonadati; Pseudomonadota; Gammaproteobacteria; Enterobacterales; Enterobacteriaceae. The record is from RNAcentral.